UGGGGAAUAUUGCGCAAUGGCCGAAAGGCUGACGCAGCGACGCCGCGUGGGGGAUGAAGCAUUUCGGUGUGUAAACCCCUGUUGCUCGGGACGAACAACUGGAUUCUUCCAGUCUGACGGUACCGGGUGAGGAAGCACCGGCUAACUCCGUGCCAGCAGCCGCGGUAAUACGGAGGGUGCGAGCGUUGUCCGGAAUCACUGGGCGUAAAGGGCGCGUAGGCGGCCUGCUAAGUGUGCGGUGAAAGCCUGG
Molecule: ribosomal RNA, 250 nt
Filed under: uncultured bacterium
Lineage: Bacteria
Description: partial 16S ribosomal RNA
Rfam family: Bacterial small subunit ribosomal RNA
Source: RNAcentral